AUCUCCGACUUGUGUCAAGAAAUGGGAAGUUCUGGGCCCAGAUCGCCAGAUCCCCAUAAGUCAGCGAUGAGGGAGGCCGAGCAGGGGCUGCCCGUUAGACGGCCGCAGAGUCCCAGCCCCCAGCCCUGCUCACCUUUCUUACCUCUCUGGCCCCGUCGGCAUUUGAGCCUGGGACCCCAGACGAAAGGAUACGCUUCCUUUUAGAACCCCUGCCAAUCUGAGGACGGGGCCACCCCACAGACGCCGUGGCUCAGCAAGCAGACCAAUGGCCGAGGAGUCUGGCAAGAGGCGCUUGAUGAGAGUGGAGUCUGUAAAUCACCCUCCAUGCAAUGGUUCAUCAUAAAGGAUAUGGAGCAAAAUUAGAGGAGGCACGAGAAGGAAAGCCGGUGAUGAACAAGGAAAGUGCCUGGUUGAAGCUAGCUUGCAAUCCCCAAAGUCAGAAGGUUGCCUGGGAAGCCAUGAAACAAAGCCAAAUCAAGGCAAAGCAGACACAUGGAGAUUUUGAGACUGAGAAGAGGAAAACUGAGGACAUUCAUGUGAGAUGGUUUCAAGUUUCCCUUA
RNAcentral lists this long non-coding RNA (561 nucleotides) under Pan troglodytes (chimpanzee). RNAcentral's name for it is "lincRNA". Lineage: Eukaryota; Metazoa; Chordata; Mammalia; Primates; Hominidae. The record is from RNAcentral.